GAGUUUUGGAAUGGGUCCAGCUAACUUAAGGGGUACAUGUGGGUUCUCCCAGGUCCUGCCUUGCAGGGAUGGCACAUUCCAGACUGGCAGCCCCUGAACAAACUCAAGGGGAAUCCAGCUUGCUCUGCUGUGCAUGAAGCAGCACCACAGGGACCCUCUGGAAGCAGCAGCCAGAGCCUGAGCCUCCUUGGCACUAAAGCCUGCAGUGGCCCCGCAAAAGCAGAGUGAAGGCUGAGGCUCUGGAACGGCCUAGGAGAGCCCACCACCACCACCUCAGCUGCCCAUUCUUCCCUUCCCCCAUAACCAGAUUGUUCAGCUCCUUGGACCAAACCAUGGCCUGAGGCUGUCCCUCUCCCACUGUGCCCAUGGAGCCGCUGGCAUCCUCAACUCCCCCAGCAUGAGACACGCCCAGCCCACUGGCCCUCAUAACUGAAGUCGCAGCUCAUGGAGGACCAGCAGGGGGAGCCCAGACCUUUCUCUGUUUUGGUGGCAGAAGGGGGCAGAGGUGGAGAACACCCUGCUGGGCACACAGUAGGCAUGCAGUAGAUGUCUGGUGCCUACCAGCCCCUGCCCCCUACCCGUCUCUUCUGGCCUUCCUGACCUUCUCAUUUGGGCAGCCCCCCCUCUGCCCUGGGACCUUGGCUUCAGCUGUCUGGUUGGCCCUCAGCUUCUUUGUCACCUCCUUCCUGUCACCAUGGACUCAGCUUGUCACCUAGAAGAACCCCCAGUCUAGGGUCACAGUGUCUCUGUGGCAUUACCCUGUGCAGCUUCCUUCCUGGUAUUUACUGUCUCUGAAGUGACAUUGUUUACGUCAAUGGUCCCUUUCCUUUCCUGAGUGUUCGGCUCUGAGAGGCAGGGACCCUGCCUCCACCAUCCUGUCCUCACACUGGGAGCUGUGCCCAGCACACAGAGGAUGUUCAGUCUCGGUGGAGCACUGAUGUCCACGCUGCAAGGGCACGCGAUGGAGUCUGGAGGAGGCCACCUUGCCAGGCAGCCAUUUCUUUGAGUCUCACUCUUAAAGCAUCACUUGAUGUCACACAAUGUCACACACCGCGUCUGUGAGCACUUUCAGUCUUGAGGACAGGUGUUUGCCUCUCAAGAAAGUGAUUAGAAUCGAUACUAUGGGAAGGUGUGCUUCAUUUCUCUUGUUGCAUCGGGUUGGAAAAUUCCAUAUCUGGCCCAGGGGCUGGCGGCUGGGACCCUGGCUCUGAGCAGGUGAGGCUGGAGGACCAUGGACUUCCUGCUACUGCCAUGGACCACAGCCUGCACCCUGUUUAGGAAGACAAUCUGGCAAUAUCCAACAACAGGGGAAACAUGCAGACUCUAAAAUUAUGCUGGCCUGUAAAAUACGCGUGUCCCCAGUCCUUCCUCCCCGUGACCACACCCUUUACAAUGGGACUUGCUGUGCUGUGAAGAUGCCCUGUCUGCUGGUCCUGGCUGCUCUUGGGGACUCUUUGGCCAGUCGAAUGGAGCAACAAUGAGAAUGUGAAGUUCUGAGCCCAGGCUUCAAGACCUGUAUGACUCUCCUCUCUUUGAGCUCCAGCUCUACACCAGAACAAGCUAAGCCCAUUUGAUGGAGGAAGGAAGGCCACGCAAAAGAGAAAUGAUCUGUGACCAGCCAGCCCUAGCUGACGAGAGGCCAACCCCAUGAUUGACCAAGCCGUAUCAGUAGACCAGCCCAAUAUCAGUUGCCUGGUAACAAAUAACAGGUUGUUACUUUAGGCCUUUAAGACUCAGGUUGCUAGGCAGCAUCGCCGUGGCAACGGAUGACUGAUACAAAAGCUUGGUGGGUCUACUCCUUGGAACUUGCCUUGAGAAGCACAAGUCAGAGGAGAUGACAAAGUCAAGCAUGCUCACUGGACCACACCACUGGCCAAAUGCGGCAAGCCACCCUUAAUACCCAGCAGCAGCAGGGAAGCAGAUUCGCUAGGGGUGAUUCUUCCUCACAGUGAGACUCUAAGCCAUGUAAGGGACGAGGCUAAGUCAUACAGGGCGACAUAGAAAGACCUUCGGAGAACCUGGUUCCUCAAAAGGCACACUGGAGAACGACUGAGAGUCACACCAGUCUGUGAGACACGUUUUCCAUUGACACCUGUCUGAAAUGUUCUGAUGAAAGACCUGUGAGGAGCCCACUGUGCGGACACAGGCUUCCAGAAUCUUCUGUAAGAUGUUUCUGUGUUCCUAUUGAGCUCUGUCUAUAACGGUGUCCACAAUCUUCUCUAGGGAAGGUCGAGUACCUCAUUCAGGACCCCUGCAUCUUGAGUUCAAAGUCAUAUAAAAGGCACCAGCCUAUUAAAAAGUGUUCAGCACUUUUUUUUUAUUUAUUUAUUAUGUACACAGUGUUCUGCCUGCAUGUAUCCCUGCAGGUCAGAAGAAGGCGCCAGAUCUCAUUACAGAUGUUUGUGAGCCUCCAUGUGGUUGCUGAGAGUUGAACUCAGGACCUUUGGAAGAGCAAGCAGUGCUCUUAACCUCUGAGCCAUCUCUCCAGCCCCCUGUUCAGCACUUUUAAUCACCUAAGAAGCACAAAUUGAACCCACAGUGAGAUACUGUUGUGCACAGCUCCGUGACCCUGGAUGUGCUAACUACCACACUCAACAUUGCCAAGGAGAAAGUCGGUGUGCCUGUUCUGCUUUAUACAACUAAAUACAUGCUUACCAUGAACCCCAGUGACUCUAUUCCCUGCCACCAACCAGAGAGAAGGGGAAAAUCAUGCUGACCUAGACAACCUAACAUGUUGUUGACAAAUGUGUGGAUAAAUGUGUGGUGUCCCAUCCACACAAAUGGAAUACAACUCACCAGUGAAAAGGAAUAGACCUCAGAGUCAUCAACAACACAGAUGACUCUCAUAGGUCUCUCAACAAUUGUCUGGCACAGAAGUCUGUCCCACCUACCCAGCCCAUUCACUGAAGUUCCGAGAAGGGAGGCAGUGUGUGGGAA
This is a long non-coding RNA of Peromyscus californicus insignis, 2937 nucleotides long. RefSeq lists it as uncharacterized. The transcript has 3 exons. Lineage: Eukaryota; Metazoa; Chordata; Mammalia; Rodentia; Cricetidae. The record is from RefSeq and is a predicted model, not a curated record.